Non-coding RNA from Ceratotherium simum simum (southern white rhinoceros), 106 nucleotides. The record is from RefSeq and is a predicted model, not a curated record. NCBI's taxonomy places the organism in Eukaryota, Metazoa, Chordata, Mammalia, Perissodactyla, Rhinocerotidae.
GGGAAGUGGCCUUGGUUUGCAGGGGACGAGGUAAGGAGGAAGGCUUUGGGAUAGAGAGUUGUCAUUCUUCCCAGGUUUCAGAGUUUGGUAGCCAUUUCCUUAGCCU